GAAAUGCGAUAAGUAAUGUGAAUUGCAGAAUUCGGUGAAUCAUCGAAUCUUUGAACGCACAUUGCGCCCGCCAGUAUUCUGGCGGGCAUGCCUGUCCGAGCGUCAUUUCAACCAUCAAGCCCCCGAGCUUGUGUUGGGGACCUGCGGCUGCCCGCAGGCCCUGAAAACCAGUGGCGGGCUCGCUGUCACACCGAGCGUAGUAGCAAUCACCUCGCUCAGGGCGUGCUGCGGGUUCCGGCCGUUAAACAGCCUUACAAAACCCAAGGUUGACCUCGGAUCAGGUAGGAAGACCCGCUGAACUUAAGC
This 306-nucleotide unclassified non-coding RNA is filed under the name plant metagenome. Its description in RNAcentral is "partial contains 5.8S ribosomal RNA, internal transcribed spacer 2, and large subunit ribosomal RNA". The stretch from base 1 to 105 matches the Rfam family "5.8S ribosomal RNA", at positions 50 to 154 of the family's 154-position model. The record is from RNAcentral.